CGGUAAUACGUGGAAGACUAGUGUUAUUCAUCUUUAAUAGGUUUAAAGGGUACUUAGACGGUAAAUUAAGCCCAGAUAAAAACAAAGGGUACUAAUUAUACUAGAGUUUGAUAAGAGGAGGGUGUGUACUAGUGGUGUAGAGAUGAAAUUCAGUCAUACCAUUAUGACAGGCAACGGCGAAAGCAACCUUUAGAUAAAAACUGACGUUAAAGGACGAAGGCUUUGUGUCACCAACAGGAUUAGAUACCCAAGCAGUCUUAGCAGACAAUUAUGAAUGCCAUAGGUAAGAAGAAAAGACAUUUAUUUUUUCUUUUUUUGGCAUAAUUUAUAGAUAAUAUAAAUAAAAAAAGAAAUAGGAUGUCACAUUUCUUUUUUUGGCAUAAUUUAUAGAUAAUAUAAAUGAAAAAAGAAAUAGGAUGUAACAUUAUCUAUAAAAGAUGAUGUUUUUUUUGUCUAUAAAUGAAAGUGUAAGCAUUCCACCUCAAGAGUAAUGUGGCAACGCAGAAACUGAAAUCAUUAGACCGUUUCUGAAACCAGUAGUGAAGUAUGUUGUUUAAUUAGAUGG
This 565-nucleotide ribosomal RNA is filed under the name Circinaria lacunosa. RNAcentral's name for it is "partial 12S small subunit ribosomal RNA". It matches the Rfam family "Bacterial small subunit ribosomal RNA", at positions 518 to 957 of the family's 1533-position model. Lineage: Eukaryota; Fungi; Ascomycota; Lecanoromycetes; Pertusariales; Megasporaceae. The record is from RNAcentral.